This 253-nucleotide ribosomal RNA is filed under the name uncultured bacterium. Its description in RNAcentral is "partial 16S ribosomal RNA". It matches the Rfam family "Bacterial small subunit ribosomal RNA", at positions 524 to 776 of the family's 1533-position model. The record is from RNAcentral.
UACGUAGGGUGCAAGCGUUAAUCGGAAUUACUGGGCGUAAAGCGUGCGCAGGCGGUUCUGAAAGUCAGCUGUGAAAGCCCCGGGCUUAACCUGGGAAUUGCGGUUGAAACUACAGGGCUAGAAUCUGGCAGAGGGGGGUGGAAUUCCACGUGUAGCAGUGAAAUGCGUAGAUAUGCGGAGGAACACCGAUGGCGAAGGCAAUCCCCUGGGCCUGCACUGACGCUCAUGCACGAAAGCGUGGGGAGCAAACAGG